Molecule: unclassified non-coding RNA, 550 nt
Filed under: uncultured Gammaproteobacteria bacterium
Lineage: Bacteria; Pseudomonadati; Pseudomonadota; Gammaproteobacteria
Description: partial 16S-23S ribosomal RNA intergenic spacer
Rfam family: tRNA (bases 79-152)
Source: RNAcentral
CCUCCUUACAAAAAGUUAGGCGCACGCCUAUUUUAGUACUCACAACAAAUUAUUUUGAUUGAAUAAAGCAAUGAGCCUGGGCCUGUAGCUCAGUUGGUUAGAGCGCACCCCUGAUAAGGGUGAGGUCGGAGGUUCAAAUCCUCCCAGGCCCACCAAUUUUGCGCACUGUGGUUGAAAGACUAUUUUGUGGAAAGUUUUUGGACAUCUUCUGGGACUGGACGCUUGCGAUGUAAAGGGCCACGGUAGUGGUUUUUUUAGUUGCACGUAAUAGAGAGGGGCCAUAGCUCAGCUGGGAGAGCGCCUGCCUUGCACGCAGGAGGUCGGGAGUUCGAUCCUCCCUGGCUCCACCAACUCUAUAGAGGUUACGUAACGGAUUUAAGUUACGGGGAUAGCUUUUAUAGAAUUGGUGAGGAAACUCAACAAUUGCUCUUUAAAAAUUUGGAAUCUGUAAACUGUAAUAAAGAAUGAAGCAGUAAUGGAUUGUGUUUAGUUUGAUGAUGAGUCGAGCUGUAUGCAAGAAGUUAUUGGUGAGUUCUCAAGCAAAGCGAAA